RNAcentral lists this ribosomal RNA (330 nucleotides) under uncultured Pseudomonas sp. RNAcentral's name for it is "bacterial SSU rRNA". It matches the Rfam family "Bacterial small subunit ribosomal RNA", at positions 1053 to 1382 of the family's 1533-position model. The record is from RNAcentral. Lineage: Bacteria; Pseudomonadati; Pseudomonadota; Gammaproteobacteria; Pseudomonadales; Pseudomonadaceae.
CGUCAGCUCGUGUCGUGAGAUGUUGGGUUAAGUCCCGUAACGAGCGCAACCCUUGUCCUUAGUUACCAGCACGUUAUGGUGGGCACUCUAAGGAGACUGCCGGUGACAAACCGGGAGGAAGGUGGGGAUGACGUCAAGUCAUCAUGGCCCCUACGGCCUGGGCUACACACGUGCUACAAUGGUCGGUACAAAGGGUUGCCAAGCCGCGAGGUGGAGCUAAUCCCAUAAACCGAUCGUAGUCCGGAUCGCAGUCUGCAACUCGACUGCGUGAAGUCGGAAUCGCUAGUAAUCGUGAAUCAGAAUGUCACGAUGAAUACGUUCCCGGGCCUU